Molecule: ribosomal RNA, 253 nt
Filed under: uncultured bacterium
Lineage: Bacteria
Description: partial 16S ribosomal RNA
Rfam family: Bacterial small subunit ribosomal RNA
Source: RNAcentral
UACGUAGGUGACAAGCGUUGUCCGGAUUUACUGGGCGUAAAGAGCGCGCAGGCGGUCGUUCAAGUCGAGUGUGAAAGCCCCCGGCUCAACUGGGGAGGGUCAUUCGAUACUGAUCGACUCGAAGGCAGGAGAGGGUAGUGGAAUUCCCGGUGUAGUGGUGAAAUGCGUAGAUAUCGGGAGGAACACCAAUGGCGAAGGCAGCUCGCUGGGACGUUACUGACGCUGAGACGCGAAAGCGUGGGGAGCAAACAGG